GACGAACGCUGGCGGCGUGCCUAAUACAUGCAAGUAGAACGCUGAAGGAGGAGCUUGCUCUUCUGGAUGAGUUGCGAACGGGUGAGUAACGCGUAGGUAACCUGCCUGGUAGCGGGGGAUAACUAUUGGAAACGAUAGCUAAUACCGCAUAACAGUAGAUGUUGCAUGACAUUUACUUAAAAGGUGCAAUUGCAUCACUACCAGAUGGACCUGCGUUGUAUUAGCUAGUUGGUGGGGUAACGGCUCACCAAGGCGACGAUACAUAGCCGACCUGAGAGGGUGAACGGCCCCACUUGGACUGAGACACGGCCCCGACUUCUACGGGAGGCAGCAGUAGGGGAUCCUCGGCAAUGGAAGGAAGUCUGACCGAGCCACGCCGGGUGGGUGGAGAAGGGUUUCGGAUCGUAAAGCUCUGUUGUAAGAGGAGAACGGGUGUGAGGGUGGAAAGUUCACCCUGUGACGGUAUCUUAACAGAAAGGGACGGCUAACUACGUG
This 495-nucleotide ribosomal RNA is filed under the name uncultured bacterium. RNAcentral describes it as "partial 16S ribosomal RNA". It matches the Rfam family "Bacterial small subunit ribosomal RNA", at positions 28 to 507 of the family's 1533-position model. The record is from RNAcentral.